UCCGGGCGCGUAAUUCAAGGGGUUGAGACGUGUGCCCUUGUGGCACGAAGCAAUCGGAAGUGGUUCCAAGAAAAGCCUCUAAGCUUCAGUCAUACGAGACCGUACCGCAAACCGACACAGGUGGGCGAGAUGAGUAUUCUAAGGCGCUUGAGAGAACUCGGGAGAAGGAACUCGGCAAAUUGGUACCGUAACUUCGGGAAAAGGUACGCCUCGGUAGCUUGAAUGCUUUACUGCAUGAGGGCGAAAAGGUUGCAAUAAACUGGUGGCUGCGACUGUUUAAUAAAAACACAGCACUCUGCAAACACGAAAGUGGACGUAUAGGGUGUGACGCCUGCCCGGUGCUGGAAGAUUAAAUGAUGGGGUGCAAGCUCUUGAUUGAAGUCCCAGUAAACGGCGGCCGUAACUAUAACGGUCCUAAGGUAGCGAAAUUCCUUGUCGGGUAAGUUCCGACCUGCACGAAUGGCGUAACGAUGGCGGCGCUGUCUCCACCCGAGACUCAGUGAAAUUGAAAUCGCUGUGAAGAUGCAGUGUAUCCGCGGCUAGACGGAAAGACCCCGUGAACCUUUACUGCAGCUUGACAUUGAACUUUGACCUUACUUGUGUAGGAUAGGUGGGAGGCUUUGAAGCGGGGACGCCAGUUCUCGUGGAGCCAUCCUUGAAAUACCACCCUGGUUCAUUUGAGGUUCUAACCUUGGUCCGUUAUCCGGAUCGGGGACAGUGCAUGGUAGGCAGUUUGACUGGGGCGGUCUCCUCCUAAAGAGUAACGGAGGAGUACGAAGGUGCGCUCAGCGUGGUCGGAAAUCACGCGUAGAGUAUAAAGGCAAAAGCGCGCUUAACUGCGAGACCCACAAGUCGAGCAGGUACGAAAGUAGGUCUUAGUGAUCCGGUGGUUCUGUAUGGAAGGGCCAUCGCUCAACGGAUAAAAGGUACUCUGGGGAUAACAGGCUGAUUCCUCCCAAGAGUUCAUAUCGACGGGGGAGUUUGGCACCUCGAUGUCGGCUCAUCACAUCCUGGGGCUGUAGCCGGUCCCAAGGGUAUGGCUGUUCGCCAUUUAAAGUGGUACGUGAGCUGGGUUUAAAACGUCGUGAGACAGUUUGGUCCCUAUCUGCCGUGGGCGUUGGAAAUUUGAAGGGGGCUGCUCCUAGUACGAGAGGACCGGAGUGGACGAACCUCUGGUGUACC
This 1182-nucleotide ribosomal RNA is filed under the name Bos taurus (domestic cattle). Its description in RNAcentral is "bacterial LSU rRNA". It matches the Rfam family "Bacterial large subunit ribosomal RNA", at positions 1541 to 2718 of the family's 2925-position model. The record is from RNAcentral. Lineage: Eukaryota; Metazoa; Chordata; Mammalia; Artiodactyla; Bovidae.